AUUGAACGCUGGCGGCAGGCCUAACACAUGCAAGUCGAGCGGAUGAAGGGAGCUUGCUCCUGGAUUCAGCGGCGGACGGGUGAGUAAUGCCUAGGAAUCUGCCUGGUAGUGGGGGAUAACGUCCGGAAACGGGCGCUAAUACCGCAUACGUCCUGAGGGUGAAAGUGGGGGUUCUUCGGACCUCACGCUAUCAGAUGAGCCUAGGUCGGAUUAGCUAGUUGGUGGGGUAAAGGCCUACCAAGGCGACGAUCCGUAACUGGUCUGAGAGGAUGAUCAGUCACACUGGAACUGAGAAACGGUCCAGACGCCUACGGGAGGCAGCAGUGGGGAAUAUUGGACAAUGGGCGAAAGCCUGAUCCAGCCAUGCCGCGUGUGUGAAGAAGGUCUUCGGAUUGUAAAGCACUUUAAGUUGGGAGGAAGGGAAGUAAGUUAAUACCUUGCUGUUUUGACGUUACCAACAGAAUAAGCACCGGCUAACUUCGUG
Molecule: ribosomal RNA, 484 nt
Filed under: uncultured bacterium
Lineage: Bacteria
Description: partial 16S ribosomal RNA
Rfam family: Bacterial small subunit ribosomal RNA
Source: RNAcentral